Molecule: long non-coding RNA, 1317 nt
Organism: Gossypium raimondii (Peruvian cotton)
Lineage: Eukaryota; Viridiplantae; Streptophyta; Magnoliopsida; Malvales; Malvaceae
Exons: 2
Source: RefSeq, a predicted model, not a curated record
UGUCCUUCUUUAAUUGGACAUUGGAAAGGUGCUUCGAAACUCGCAAAAUCAUAAAUAUAAUUAACGGAAAGCACACAGAAAAAAAAAACAAACUUGGAAAAGGAAACAAACAGACUCAAGCUGAACAAAAAGAAAAAGAAAAAAGGCCUGGAAUCCCAUUCUUUUCUUAUCACUUUAAGCAACUUCUUUUGUGCAUCAGCCAUUCAAGAGACCGAUUACCCAUGAACAUCCAAAAGUUGACUUUUCGAACCCUAGUCUCUGUCAAUCUCCACGAGUUCAUCGGACUGACCAAACGCACAUAGUCCAAACUCAACAAUUCUAGUCAUCCACCAUCAUCGCCGCUACUCCUAUCGCGCUUCACCAGUCCUUCCACCGCGCUCGAUACAUUUUCCAUCCAGCAUUGGGGAUCUUCAUAUCUUCGCCCUUCCAAUGCCAUCCCAUGUGCUGCUUUAUUGGCUUCCCUUGAGUUUAGUUUUCUGAUUACAGUUAACGCAUCUCCCUCAACACAUAUAUCUUGAAAGCCUAUUUCUUCUGCUAUAGUAACAGCCUGCAAACACGCCUUCAACUUAGCCAUAAUCGGAUCUGAAAUAUUCUCCCAUGGGUAAGUACACGAUGCCAUCACAAAUCAUUCCUUAUUCCGCGCAAUGAUUCCUGAAUAUGAUCUUCUAGAAUGCUAAUUAAACGAAGCGUCAAAAUUAAUUUUUAUAACAUUAUCAAUAGGUGGUUUCCACACAUAGCUAUUAAUCUCAUGCACGUUCUUCAAGAUUUCACCCAUUUGCGUUAUUUCUGUGCAAUAUGCUCCGAUAAAUCCCACAAUUUCAUGUACUCGUUCCCUUGUCCUUUCAUGGUAGAUUCUGUUUCGAUUGUACCAUAAAGCCCAGUAAGAAAUACUUCUAAUUUUGCAUUUUUCAUUACUAUGAUUCUCAAACUCUAAUGCUAACCAUUUUUCCAAUUGGAUUCUCUGUUGUUUGUUGGAUUAACCACCCCCAAAUCCCCCAAUACCUGUUGAGUAAAGCUGCAAUCCCGAAAAAGGUGGCUCACCGUUUCUUCUUCUACUCGGCAUAUUAGACAAAACGUGUUUACCACCAACUUACGGCUCUCAGAUUAUAUAGUACAGGCAGAAAUUCAUUAGCAACCUUCCACAUAUGUAUAUGUAUCUUGCUUGGCACAUUAAGAGCCCAUAUUUUUGUAAAGAAUUGAUAUAGAAAUUUAUUUUGUAUCCUAGAUCCCUCCCCUGUAAUUAGCCACUUAUAACCACUUUUGACUGUGUAAAUUCUUAAAUUAUCGCCUCUCUAUAUUAACGCAUCCUGUGGUUCA